GGGGUUGUGGCUCAGUGGUAGAGCUCUUGCUUAGAACAUGUGAGGCACUGGGUUUGAUUCUCAGCACCCUA
Molecule: transfer RNA, 71 nt
Filed under: Ictidomys tridecemlineatus (thirteen-lined ground squirrel)
Lineage: Eukaryota; Metazoa; Chordata; Mammalia; Rodentia; Sciuridae
Also listed under: 1 other name
Description: Spermophilus tridecemlineatus (thirteen-lined ground squirrel) tRNA
Rfam family: tRNA
About the family: Transfer RNA (tRNA) molecules are approximately 80 nucleotides in length. Their secondary structure includes four short double-helical elements and three loops (D, anti-codon, and T loops).
Source: Rfam by way of RNAcentral